GGGCCCGCACAAGCGGUGGAGUAUGUGGUUUAAUUCGAUGCAACGCGAAGAACCUUACCAGGGUUUGACAUCCUGCGAAUCUCUUGGAAACAGGAGAGUGCCUUCGGGAACGCAGUGACAGGUGGUGCAUGGCUGUCGUCAGCUCGUGUCGUGAGAUGUUGGGUUAAGUCCCGCAACGAGCGCAACCCACGUCUUUAGUUGCCAGCAUUUAGUUGGGCACUCUAGAGAGACUGCCGGUGAUAAACCGGAGGAAGGUGUGGAUGACGUCAAGUCAUCAUGCCCCUUACAUCCUGGGCUACACACGUACUACAAUGGCCGGUACAGAGGGCUGCGAGACCGCGAGGUUGAGCGAAUCCCAUAAAGCCGGUCUCAGUUCGGAUUGGAGUCUGCAACUCGACUCCAUGAAGUUGGAGUCGCUAGUAAUCCCAGAUC
This 432-nucleotide ribosomal RNA is filed under the name uncultured bacterium. RNAcentral describes it as "bacterial SSU rRNA". It matches the Rfam family "Bacterial small subunit ribosomal RNA", at positions 917 to 1350 of the family's 1533-position model. The record is from RNAcentral.